RNAcentral lists this ribosomal RNA (450 nucleotides) under uncultured bacterium. RNAcentral describes it as "bacterial SSU rRNA". It matches the Rfam family "Bacterial small subunit ribosomal RNA", at positions 29 to 524 of the family's 1533-position model. The record is from RNAcentral.
AACGAACGCUGGCGGCAUGCCUAACACAUGCAAGUCGAACGAGACCUUCGGGUCUAGUGGCGCACGGGUGCGCAACGCGUGGGAAUCUACCCUUGGGUUCGGAAUAACUCAGAGAAAUUUGAGCUAAUACCGGAUGAUGUCGCAAGACCAAAGAUUUAUCGCCCAAGGAUGAGCCCGCGUAGGAUUAGCUUGUUGGUGAGGUAAAAGCUCACCAAGGCGACGAUCCUUAGCUGGUCUGAGAGGAUGAUCAGCCACACUGGGACUGAGACACGGCCCAGACUCCUACGGGAGGCAGCAGUGGGGAAUAUUGGACAAUGGGCGAAAGCCUGAUCCAGCAAUGCCGCGUGAGUGAUGAAGGCCUUAGGGUUGUAAAGCUCUUUUACCCGGGAUGAUAAUGACAGUACCGGGAGAAUAAGCCCCGGCUAACUCCGUGCCAGCAGCCGCGGUAAU